GGUUGUGGCUCAGCGGUAGAGUGCUUGCCUCACGCAUGUGCAGGACCCUGGGUUCGAUCCUUAGCACCA
This 69-nucleotide transfer RNA is filed under the name Marmota monax (woodchuck). RNAcentral describes it as "tRNA.Val". Lineage: Eukaryota; Metazoa; Chordata; Mammalia; Rodentia; Sciuridae. The record is from RNAcentral.